AGACUUCAUGGCAUGCUUGGCAUGUAAUUUGAGUCGACUCAGUGGAUGUUUGAGACGACUCAGUAUCAGUGAUAGAAAGUUAAAUUUUUAGAUGCAGAAGACUUAAUUGACCCAGAUUUAGCUUAGUCAAUCAAGACAGGAUCUUAGUCGACUCAGUCAGAAAGUUAGUUGACUCAGUCUCAGAGAACAAUAGCAAGACAGAAAGAUAGAUUUUUAAGCUUUGUCCACUUAGUUGACCAAGUCAAAAUUAAGCUAACCA
This 259-nucleotide long non-coding RNA is filed under the name Elaeis guineensis (African oil palm). Its description in RNAcentral is "long non-coding RNA (EGUI_LNC070318)". The record is from RNAcentral. Lineage: Eukaryota; Viridiplantae; Streptophyta; Magnoliopsida; Arecales; Arecaceae.